Molecule: ribosomal RNA, 253 nt
Filed under: uncultured bacterium
Lineage: Bacteria
Description: partial 16S ribosomal RNA
Rfam family: Bacterial small subunit ribosomal RNA
Source: RNAcentral
UACGAAGGGGGCUAGCGUUGCUCGGAAUCACUGGGCGUAAAGCGCACGUAGGCGGACUCUUAAGUCGGGUGUGAAAUCUUGGAGCUUAACUCCGAAACUGCAUUCGAUACUGCCGUGCUUGAGGACUGGAGAGGAGACUGGAAUUUACGGUGUAGCGGUGAAAUGCGUAGAUAUCGUAAGGAAGACCAGUGGCGAAGGCGGGUCUCUGGACAGUUCCUGACGCUGAGGCACGAAGGCCAGGGGAGCAAACGGG